AAAGGCAGUUAGAUUAAUUUAUUAAAUUAGUUUAUUUAUAGCUGAAUAAUAGAUAGGUAAAAUUAAACUAUCAGCUUAAAAAAUUUAUAUUAACUAAAUUAUUGAAUCUGCGAAAUCCUUGAGGGAAACUGGGAUUAGAUACCCCAUUAUUCUUGGAAGUAAAAAGAAAAUCUACCAGAGUACUAUGAAUAAAAAUUUAAAACUCAAAGAGCUUGGCGGUGCUUUAGACUUUUCAGGGGAACCUGUCUUAUAAUCGACAAUCCACGCUACACCUAACCUUUUCUUGCAUACAGUUUGUAUACCGUCGUCGUCAGGUAACUUCUAAAAAUUUCAACAGUUAGCAAAAAAGUUUACAUUAAUAAGCUUAAACGUCAGAUCAAGGUGCAAUUAAUGAAAGGGACAAGAUGGGUUACAAUUAUAAAAUAAUAAUACGAAAAAUUAGUUGAAAUACUAUUUUAAAGGAGGACUUGAAAGUAAG
Molecule: ribosomal RNA, 478 nt
Filed under: Vexillum plicarium
Lineage: Eukaryota; Metazoa; Mollusca; Gastropoda; Neogastropoda; Costellariidae
Also listed under: 1 other name
Description: partial 12S ribosomal RNA
Source: RNAcentral